Molecule: long non-coding RNA, 1153 nt
Organism: Colias croceus (clouded yellow)
Lineage: Eukaryota; Metazoa; Arthropoda; Insecta; Lepidoptera; Pieridae
Exons: 2
Source: RefSeq, a predicted model, not a curated record
UUAUAUAUGGUUAUUGACCCGGAAGUCAUGAGCACUCAGACCAUUGGUGAAUGGCCUUACGGCCUUAUGGCCCCCCAACUGCUCAGUCAGAAAAAGGGGGGGGGGGGAGGGGAGAAAACAGCCCAUUGUAAAGCAAAGGAGAAAGAGCAGUUAAGUAGUGGUGCCCCUCCACAGUGCCAACAUAUGACCCUCCAAGCAGGAGGUGACUUUCAUAAUGCAAUGCUUAAAAAAAAAAAAAAAAAGAAUGCAUGUAAUCUAGUACACAGGGAUUCUAUUUAAUUGGCUUAAGUCUAUCAUAAGCAAGCUCAACCUGUUCAUGACAUGAACAUGACUUCUGAAAACCUCAAAAUACAGUUUUUUAUCACAGCAAGAUAAGAUUAUAACCUGACCAGAAUUUGGAUACUAAAUGGAUACAACAACACAUUAUCCAUCAGGUGGUCGGUUGUGAGGAAACUCAGACACAUAGAUAUGCCCAGUGACCCAUGUGGAAAGGUUGGUUCAAGUAACAAAGGACUGAUUUUCAAUCUUAAAAGUAGAUAAUUGAUUCUUAUCUAAAUUAUAUAAAGGGGCGGACCCUUUAACCUUGCAACACAAACCUUUAUCUCUGGCUAGUUAAGGUCCCUCCAGAUCUUAAAGACAGUAAACAUAGCAGCCCUGUCCAGCAGUGGCUUCAAGAAUGUGGUAAGGGCACCAACCCGUGGAGGCAGUGGAAGGACCAUACAGUCAAUUAUAAAAGUUUUACUGUCAAUCAGUCAAUUUAGCCAGUGCCAGUGAGUCUGGUUUACUUUAAGCAGAUAUCAAACACAUCUUCAUCCAACGCUGUGUGUUUUAGAAAGACACAUAAUAUUGAUGUUUUGCAUUAAAACAAAACAUGUAUUAUGUGUCGAAUAAAACACACAGCGUUGCAGUUUACUGCUUGCUGAUGAAGAUGCUAUGGAGCUUGGAAGAUGACAGCGCGUCAAAGGCGAUGAUGACAGAUGCCAUACUAGGGACGCGCUCUUGCUAGUGAGGUGAAAGAUCCAUCGAUAUUUGGUAAGGUGACCCAAUUUGCAUAGAGAUAUAUAGGAUUCAUAGACUGCUUUCUUCAUCCAACGCUGUGUGUUUUAUUCGACACAUAAUACAUGUUUUGUUUUAAUGCAAAACAUCAAUAUUA